ACGUACACUCCUGCGGGAGGCAGCAGUAGGGAAUCUUCCACAAUGGGUGCAAACCUGAUGGAGCAAUGCCGCGUGAGUGAAGAAGGUCUUCGGAUCGUAAAGCUCUGUUGUUAGAGAAGAACACGUGCUAGGUAACUACUAGCGCCUUGACGGUAUCUAACCAGAAAGUCACGGCUAACUACGUGCCAGCAGCCGCGGUAAUACGUAGGUGACAAGCGUUGUCCGGAUUUAUUGGGCGUAAAGGGAGCGCAGGCGGUCUGUUUAGUCUAAUGUGAAAGCCCACGGCUUAACCGUGGAACGGCAUUGGAAACUGACAGACUUGAAUGUAGAAGAGGAAAAUGGAAUUCCAAGUGUAGCGGUGGAAUGCGUAGAUAUUUGGAGGAACACCAGUGGCGAAGGCGAUUUUCUGGUCUAACAUUGACGCUGAGGCUCGAAAGCGUGGGGAGCGAACAGGAGUAGAAACCCUUGUAGUCCCA
RNAcentral lists this ribosomal RNA (476 nucleotides) under uncultured organism. RNAcentral's name for it is "partial 16S ribosomal RNA". It matches the Rfam family "Bacterial small subunit ribosomal RNA", at positions 329 to 797 of the family's 1533-position model. The record is from RNAcentral.